CCUGGCUCAGAUUGAACGCUGGCGGCAUGCCUUACACAUGCAAGUCGAACGGCAGCGGACCUUCGGGUGCCGGCGAGUGGCGAACGGGUGAGUAAUAUAUCGGAACGUACCUUUCAGUGGGGGAUAACGUAGCGAAAGUUACGCUAAUACCGCAUAUUCUGUGAGCAGGAAAGCAGGGGAUCGCAAGACCUUGCGCUGAUUGAGCGGCCGAUAUCAGAUUAGCUAGUUGGUGAGGUAAAGGCUCACCAAGGCGACGAUCUGUAGCGGGUCUGAGAGGAUGAUCCGCCACACUGGAACUGAGACACGGUCCAGACUCCUACGGGAGGCAGCAGUGGGGAAUUUUGGACAAUGGGCGCAAGCCUGAUCCAGCCAUGCCGCGUGAGUGAAGAAGGCCUUCGGGUUGUAAAGCUCUUUCGGCCGGGAAGAAAUCGCACGGGUUAAUACCCUGUGUGGAUGACGGUACCGGAAUAAGAAGCACCGGCUAACUACGUG
Molecule: ribosomal RNA, 492 nt
Filed under: uncultured bacterium
Lineage: Bacteria
Description: bacterial SSU rRNA
Rfam family: Bacterial small subunit ribosomal RNA
Source: RNAcentral